CUCAUCUCAUCACGUCUCGUCUCGUCUCAUCUCAUCUCAACACAUCUCAUCUCAUCACAUCACAUCUCAUCUCAUCUCAUCACAUCUCAUCUCAUCACAUCUCUUCUCAUCUCAUCUCAUCUCAUCUCAUCACAUCACAUCACAUCACAUCACAUCUCAACUCAUCACAUCUCAUCACAUCUCAACUCAUCUCAUCUCAUCUCAUCUCAUCUCAUCUCAUCUCUUCUCAUCACAUCACAUCACAACUCGUCACAUCUCGUCUCAUCUCGUCACAUCACAUCACAUCUCAUCUCAUCUCAUCUCAUCACAUCACAUCUCUUCUCAUCACAUCUCAUCUCAUCUCAUCUCAUCUCAUCUCAUCACAACUCAUCACAUCUCAUCUCAUCACAUCACAUCACAUCACAUCUCAUCUCAUCUCAUCUCAUCUCAUCUCAUCUCAUCUCAUCUCAUCUCAUCUCUUCUCAUCACAUCACAUCAUCUCAUCACAUCUCAUCUCAUCUCAUCACAUCACAUCUCAUCUCAUCACAUCUCAUCUCAUCACUUCACAUCACAUCUCAACUCAUCUCAUCUCAUCUCAUCUCAUCUCAUCACAUCACAUCACAUCACAUCUCAACUCAUCACAUCUCAACUCGUCUCGUCACGUCACGUCACGUCACGUCUCGUCUCGUCUCGUCUCGUCUCGUCACGUCACGUCACGUCACGUCACGUCUCGUCUCAUCUCAUCUCAUCACAUCACAUCACAUCACAUCUCAUCUCAUCACAUCACAUCUCAUCACAUCUCAUCACAUCUCUUCUCAUCUCAUCACAUCACAUCACAUCUCAUCUCAUCUCAUCUCAUCACAUCACAUCACAUCACAUCACAUCUCAUCACAUCUCAUCACUUCACAUCUCAUCACAUCUCAUCUCAUCACAUCACAUCACAUCACAUCUCAUCUCAUCUCAUCUCAUCACAUCACAUCUCAUCUCAUCACGUCUCGUCUCAUCACUUCACAUCUCAACUCAUCUCAUCUCAUCUCAUCUCAUCUCAUCACAACUCAUCACAUCACAUCACAUCUCAUCUCAUCUCAUCACAUCUCAACUCAUCUCAUCACAUCACAUCACAUCACAUCACAUCUCAACUCAUCACAUCUCAUCUCAUCUCAUCUCAUCACAACUCGUCUCGUCACGUCACGUCACGUCACGUCUCGUCUCGUCUCGUCUCGUCUCGUCUCGUCUCGUCUCGUCACGUCACGUCACGUCACGUCACGUCUCGUCUCGUCUCGUCUCGUCUCGUCUCGUCACAUCACAUCACAUCAAAUCAUAUAUGGAUGUAUUAAGUGAGUGUGUCUCUGAGAGCAUGAGCUCAUCCUGCAUUAGCAGCCGCCGGAGGGAAGGAUUGAGUUUGUGGGCAGCCGGUCUCGGUGCCGGUUUGGCUCGUGUUUACCAGCAGACAGCUGGUCUGUAGAGAUGAUUCACAGAUCUGUGUCUGGAGAAAGCUGAUCCGCUGCUGACGGUGCAGGAAAGCCUGAUGUGAGCGGAUGAUGCUGUCAGACUCAGCUGCUGCACUCCAGUAAAUCUGAGCAUCGCAGGCAGACGCUCCUGAUGAACAGACAAUAACACUGAUGCAUCGUUUCCAGGAAAGUCCUCCGUGAUAUCGACCCCUCCUUUGCACUUAUUAAAGACACAGCGAGGUGCAAUCAGAAUACAGAAAAGCACCGGCAGAAUCACUUUCAUCUGUAAUUCACAAUCGACAGAAUCAGGACUACAUCAGGGAUUGAUUCUCUGUCUGCUGGAAAAACAUCACGUGACACAUGUUUUGCUGAAACUAAGACACACAGAGUCUCCCCGUGACUCCCGUCAGCGCCUGAUUGGGCGGAAUCUCGUCGCCGUAACCAUGGCGACUGCCCACAGAGCACCUGGAGUGGUGACGCAGGCGUCGCUAUGACUCCUGAAGGACGGAGCGGUGAUAUAAAUAGAAAAAGAGAUAAGAAACGGGGGGAUAUUUGGGGAAGAUGAUGGCAGCUGUGACCCACACACACACACACACACUAGAGCCACAGGUGUGCCACUGACUGAAUGCCAGUGGGAAUGGCUCUCAAUGUGACUUUGGAAACUCGUCACCAGCAGGGAUUUCACUGUCAAUCCGACUGUAACAGGAGACGUGGAGCACUAAAGUGUGUCGUCCCACAGGAAAAUGAUGAAUAUUGCUCAGACGAGGCUCUCUUACAGCUCAGGAGACUCUCUUACAGCUCAGGAGACUCUUGUUUUAAGGAUGAGCUUUGUCUCAGAUGUUUCUUUUUAGAAAUGGAAGUAAAAACUAGAAUAUUUACAUUUUCUGAAGGAAAUAUUGUGUUUUAACAUGAAGAGGGGAAAGGGUUCUUACAGUAAACUAAAACUAGCACAAUAGAAAAUUGUUAAUUAAAAUACAAAGCUUUAAUUAAAAUAAAAUAAAAUAAAAUAAAAUAUAUAAAAUGUAAAAGUAAUUUAUUUCAGCAAUUUUUUAAUUUUCUGUAUUUUAACUUUAUCUGAUAUAUAUGCAAUGAAUUAAAAAAUACACAUUACAUACAUACAUGGGAUUAUUCUUAUUUAAAACUAAAAUCAUUUUAAAUAAUUUUGUUAUUAAAAAUGUCAACUAAAAUUAAAUAAAAUAUUUUUAAAAACUUAAAAAAAUAUGACAAUUUUAAGUUUAGUUUAAGUAACAGAAUAACUAAAACUGGAAAACUAUAUAGACUUAUUCAAACUUAAUCAAAUAAAAAAAUUAAAAACAUUCAAAUAUGAAUAAAGACUAUAUUAGUAUCUCAAUGAUACUGCUUUACUACAUUGUUGUUUGGUUGCUAGGUUGUUAUUGGUGGUUGCUAGGCAGUUGCUAACACGUGAGUCACUAGAUGUCAUUCAGUAAGAUUUUAGAGCUAUAAAAUGAACGUUGCUCAUUUUAUGUUUGGGUUCUUAUUGAGAUUUUGAUUGCAGACUUUGGUCACUGGAAAGUUGAGCUCAGCUUGAGACUCAUGUGAGUUCAACUUUUUUCAGGAGAAACAUCUGAGAAGCAGCACGACUCGGCAGAACUUUGUCACCGCAGUAAAGUAAGUCUGAAGUUUCAAUAGUAGCACUUGAAUUAUUCCGUCAAACGAUCCAUUUCAUCAUCGUCCUGCUUUUGUCCGGCUGUAGACUGUCGUGUUUGUUAUUUCAUGGAUGUUGAGCACGUUUGUGUCAAACCUUCAAAGAUGAAAACAGAUCUAAAGCACAAAUUCUGUGUGAAGAACACAAGUGUGUUUCUGUAUUCAAACACUUGCAUUGAUUUCUUUAUUUCAGAAGCGGAUUAUGCAAUGUCUGGCAACCCUACUGCUGUUUACAUAUCAAACCGUGUUCAGUUUCAGUGUCACAGACAGAAAACGUGACAACUGCAUGAAAAUGAAAACAUCAAAUCAGUCACCAAGAACUGAGUGUUUGGGAAAAAUGUUUGCUGUGUUUAAAAUUCGAUCGGGUGAAAGAAAAUAAAUGUAAUAUAAUAUAUGUGUGUGUGUGUGUGUGUGUGUGUG
Cyprinus carpio carpio is the source of this 3515-nucleotide long non-coding RNA. Lineage: Eukaryota; Metazoa; Chordata; Actinopteri; Cypriniformes; Cyprinidae. The record is from Ensembl.